RNAcentral lists this ribosomal RNA (322 nucleotides) under uncultured bacterium. RNAcentral describes it as "bacterial SSU rRNA". It matches the Rfam family "Bacterial small subunit ribosomal RNA", at positions 29 to 334 of the family's 1533-position model. The record is from RNAcentral.
AACGAACGCUGGCGGCAGGCCUAACACAUGCAAGUCGAGCGUGAACGCGGACUUCGGUCCGUUAUUAAAGCGGCGCACGGGUGAGUAACACGUGAGUAAUCUACCCCUUGGUUUGGGAUAACAGUUGGAAACGACUGCUAAUACCGAAUAAGCCUCCGCGCCGAAAGGCGAGUAGGAAAAGUGGGGGAGCCUUCGGGCCCUCAUGCCAUAGGAUGAGCUCGCGGCCCAUUAGGUAGUUGGUGGGGUAAUGGCCUACCAAGCCUGAGAUGGGUAGCUGGUUUGAGAGGACGAUCAGCCACACUGGAACUGAGACACGGUCCAG